This 375-nucleotide ribosomal RNA is filed under the name uncultured bacterium. Its description in RNAcentral is "bacterial SSU rRNA". It matches the Rfam family "Bacterial small subunit ribosomal RNA", at positions 521 to 896 of the family's 1533-position model. The record is from RNAcentral.
UAAGACAGAGGGGGCAAGCGUUGCUCGGAAUCACUGGGCGUAAAGGGCGCGUAGGCGGGAUGGCAAGUCAGUCGUGAAAUCUCUCGGCUCAACCGAGAAACGUCGGCUGAUACUGCCGUUCUUGAGGGAUGCAGAGGAGACUGGAAUUCCCGGUGUAGCGGUGAAAUGCGUAGAUAUCGGGAGGAAUACCAGUGGCGAAGGCGGCUUCCUGGCCUGUUCUUGACGCUGAGGCGCGAAAGCUGGGGGAGCAAACGGGAUUAGAUACCCCGGUAGUCCACGCCGUAAACUAUGAGAGCUAGACGUUGGGGGGCUUGCCUCCCUGUGUCGCAGCUAACGCGUGAAGCUCUCCGCCUGGGGAGUACGGCCGCAAGGUUA